This is a long non-coding RNA of Haliotis rufescens (red abalone), 620 nucleotides long. RefSeq lists it as uncharacterized. The record is from RefSeq and is a predicted model, not a curated record. NCBI's taxonomy places the organism in Eukaryota, Metazoa, Mollusca, Gastropoda, Lepetellida, Haliotidae. The transcript is spliced from 2 exons.
CAGCGAUGUUACCGAGAGUGUAACGAAGGUGUCACGCGCUGGGAAGGAGCUUGAUGACGUAGGUGCCAAUUUAACUGGGUCCCUGUCUUGUCACAACGCAAAAGAUAUCAAGUACCAGUUUAUGGUGAGACAACAUGGCAUCCGAUACCUUGCCUGGUCCGAAGAAGUUCCCUUGACCCUUCAAGAAAUCGCAAAACCAUACGAUUUUGAACCAAAACGAGCAAGCUUCGCGGUAUGGAAACGAUGAAAAUCAAGUGGAAACAAGAGAAGACCCACAUCACCUAAUUUCUCACCCGACCCCGACUCGACAUCUACACAAUUAGGCCUACCAGUGACAACGUGAAUCUAUCUACACCUCAUAAACAAGAGGUUCACUUUGGGGAUUUGCAGAAAUAGUUGAAGAAUCAGAGAAAAGUUAUUCCAUCUUGUGUUGUCGAGGUGAUUCAUGAAAGAUUUCCAUCUGAUGUAUGUAAUGUUUUUCUCUAUGCUCAUUAAAAUAAACUUUUUUCGUUGAAAUCUUGUUUUAUGGUCUCUGACAACAAUCAGCCUUUGCUGUUUCAUUUGAUAAGUUUCUGUAAUACAGGAUGGCUGAUGCUGGAUCAGGUAGUUUUGGGCAAGGG